GAUGAACGCUGGCGGCGUGCCUAAUACAUGCAAGUCGAGCGAACGGACGAGAAGCUUGCUUCUCUGAUGUUAGCGGCGGACGGGUGAGUAACACGUGGAUAACCUACCUAUAAGACUGGGAUAACUUCGGGAAACCGGAGCUAAUACCGGAUGAUAUUUUGAACCGCAUGGUUCAAAAGUGAAAGACGGUCUUGCUGUCACUUAUAGAUGGAUCCGCGCUGCAUUAGCUAGUUGGUAAGGUAACGGCUUACCAAGGCAACGAUGCAUAGCCGACCUGAGAGGGGGAUCGGCCACACGGGAACGGAGGCACGGUCCAGACUCCUACGGGAGGCAGCAGUAGGGAAUCUUCCGCAAUGGGCGAAAGCCUGACGGAGCAACGCCGCGUGAGUGAUGAAGGUCUUCGGAUCGUAAAACUCUGUUAUUAGGGAAGAACAUAUGUGUAAGUAACUGUGCACAUCUUGACGGUACCUAAUCAGAAAGCCACGGCUAACUACGUG
RNAcentral lists this ribosomal RNA (497 nucleotides) under uncultured bacterium. RNAcentral describes it as "partial 16S ribosomal RNA". It matches the Rfam family "Bacterial small subunit ribosomal RNA", at positions 28 to 507 of the family's 1533-position model. The record is from RNAcentral.